UACGGGGGGGGCAAGCGUUGUUCGGAAUUACUGGGCGUAAAGGGCUCGUAGGCGGCCAACUAAGUCAGACGUGAAAUCCCUCGGCUUAACCGGGGAACUGCGUCUGAUACUGGAUGGCUUGAGUUUGGGAGAGGGAUGCGGAAUUCCAGGUGUAGCGGUGAAAUGCGUAGAUAUCUGGAGGAACACCGGUGGCGAAGGCGGGUCUCUGGGCAGUAACUGACGCUGAGGAGCGAAAGCGUGGGGAGCGAACAGG
Molecule: ribosomal RNA, 253 nt
Filed under: uncultured bacterium
Lineage: Bacteria
Description: partial 16S ribosomal RNA
Rfam family: Bacterial small subunit ribosomal RNA
Source: RNAcentral